AUUGCCUAGUAACGGCGAGUGAAGCGGCAACAGCUCAAAUUUGAAAUCUGGCCUUCGGGUCCGAGUUGUAAUUUGUAGAGGAUGCUUUUGGUGCGGUGCCUUCCGAGUUCCCUGGAACGGGACGCCAUAGAGGGUGAGAGCCCCGUCUGGUUGGAUACCAAUCCUCUGUAAAGCUCCUUCGACGAGUCGAGUAGUUUGGGAAUGCUGCUCUAAAUGGGAGGUAUAUGUCUUCUAAAGCUAAAUACCGGCCAGAGACCGAUAGCGCACAAGUAGAGUGAUCGAAAGAUGAAAAGCACUUUGAAAAGAGGGUUAAACAGUACGUGAAAUUGUUGAAAGGGAAGCGCUUGUGACCAGACUUGGGCAUGGUUAAUCAUCCAGCGUUCUCGCUGGUGCACUUGGCCUGCCCAGGCCAGCAUCAGUUCGGUGCGGGGGAUAAAGGCUUCGGGAAUGUGGCUCCUCCGGGAGUGUUAUAGCCCGUUGUGCAAUACCCUGCGCUGGACUGAGGUUCGCGCAUCUGCAUGGAUGCUGGCGUAAUGGUCAUCAGCGACCCGUCUUGAAACACGGACCAAGGAGUCGUCCUCGUAUGCGAGUGUUCGGGUGUUAAACCCCUACGCGUAAUGAAAGUGAACGCAGGUGAGAGCUUCGGCGCAUCAUCGACCGAUCCUGAUGUUCUCGGAUGGAUUUGAGUAAGAGCAUACGGGGCCGGACCCGAAAGAAGGUGAACUAUGCCUGUAUAGGGUGAAGCCAGAGGAAACUCUGGUGGAGGCUCGCAGCGGUUCUGACGUGCAAAUCGAUCGUCAAAAUAUGGGCAUGGGGGCGAAAGACUAAU
Molecule: ribosomal RNA, 829 nt
Filed under: Xenoacremonium recifei
Lineage: Eukaryota; Fungi; Ascomycota; Sordariomycetes; Hypocreales; Nectriaceae
Description: eukaryotic LSU rRNA
Rfam family: Eukaryotic large subunit ribosomal RNA
Source: RNAcentral